Molecule: ribosomal RNA, 1416 nt
Filed under: Klebsiella pneumoniae
Lineage: Bacteria; Pseudomonadati; Pseudomonadota; Gammaproteobacteria; Enterobacterales; Enterobacteriaceae
Description: bacterial SSU rRNA
Rfam family: Bacterial small subunit ribosomal RNA
Source: RNAcentral
CUACACAUGCAAGUCGAGCGGUAGCACAGAGAGCUUGCUCUCGGGUGACGAGCGGCGGACGGGUGAGUAAUGUCUGGGAAACUGCCUGAUGGAGGGGGAUAACUACUGGAAACGGUAGCUAAUACCGCAUAACGUCGCAAGACCAAAGUGGGGGACCUUCGGGCCUCAUGCCAUCAGAUGUGCCCAGAUGGGAUUAGCUAGUAGGUGGGGUAACGGCUCACCUAGGCGACGAUCCCUAGCUGGUCUGAGAGGAUGACCAGCCACACUGGAACUGAGACACGGUCCAGACUCCUACGGGAGGCAGCAGUGGGGAAUAUUGCACAAUGGGCGCAAGCCUGAUGCAGCCAUGCCGCGUGUGUGAAGAAGGCCUUCGGGUUGUAAAGCACUUUCAGCGGGGAGGAAGGCGAUAAGGUUAAUAACCUUGUCGAUUGACGUUACCCGCAGAAGAAGCACCGGCUAACUCCGUGCCAGCAGCCGCGGUAAUACGGAGGGUGCAAGCGUUAAUCGGAAUUACUGGGCGUAAAGCGCACGCAGGCGGUCUGUCAAGUCGGAUGUGAAAUCCCCGGGCUCAACCUGGGAACUGCAUUCGAAACUGGCAGGCUAGAGUCUUGUAGAGGGGGGUAGAAUUCCAGGUGUAGCGGUGAAAUGCGUAGAGAUCUGGAGGAAUACCGGUGGCGAAGGCGGCCCCCUGGACAAAGACUGACGCUCAGGUGCGAAAGCGUGGGGAGCAAACAGGAUUAGAUACCCUGGUAGUCCACGCCGUAAACGAUGUCGAUUUGGAGGUUGUGCCCUUGAGGCGUGGCUUCCGGAGCUAACGCGUUAAAUCGACCGCCUGGGGAGUACGGCCGCAAGGUUAAAACUCAAAUGAAUUGACGGGGGCCCGCACAAGCGGUGGAGCAUGUGGUUUAAUUCGAUGCAACGCGAAGAACCUUACCUGGUCUUGACAUCCACAGAACUUUCCAGAGAUGGAUUGGUGCCUUCGGGAACUGUGAGACAGGUGCUGCAUGGCUGUCGUCAGCUCGUGUUGUGAAAUGUUGGGUUAAGUCCCGCAACGAGCGCAACCCUUAUCCUUUGUUGCCAGCGGUCAGGCCGGGAACUCAAAGGAGACUGCCAGUGAUAAACUGGAGGAAGGUGGGGAUGACGUCAAGUCAUCAUGGCCCUUACGACCAGGGCUACACACGUGCUACAAUGGCAUAUACAAAGAGAAGCGACCUCGCGAGAGCAAGCGGACCUCAUAAAGUAUGUCGUAGUCCGGAUUGGAGUCUGCAACUCGACUCCAUGAAGUCGGAAUCGCUAGUAAUCGUAGAUCAGAAUGCUACGGUGAAUACGUUCCCGGGCCUUGUACACACCGCCCGUCACACCAUGGGAGUGGGUUGCAAAAGAAGUAGGUAGCUUAACCUUCGGGAGGGCGCUACC